UCCGUCUGUCCAUCCGUCUGUCUGUCCGUGUUUACGAGAGUGCAUGUAUUGGGUUCUUUUUAUACUUAAUUGGUACUAAUUGGGUACUUUUUUCUUAUUGGGUAUACCCAAGAGGAAGUGUCGCUUAAUCUACUUAAAAUGCCUUAAUUGGGUACAUGAAAGUUAGUACCCAACAAAACUUAGACAUUGCGACUUGUCCAAUAAAGUGUCUGAAAAAGUUGCUUCUAUGGACGCACCAUGUAUUCGCUUCUAUAUCAUACUUUCGGAACACUAAAUUUAGCUAAGCUGCGGUCAUAGUAACUCCCGAGAGUUCCGAAAAGCAACCUCCGUUAAUCUUGUUCUUUCAAGCGUUUGAUAUCACACACAACAACAAUGGCGUCUGCAAGGCAUAGUGAGCACGAGGUCAAGAUCCAAAAAGUGGAUCAACUACCAAGAGAACAAAAUAUGUGCUAAUUUUAAGGAGAUGCUGUAGCUCUUCUCCUGGAUGGGGGUGUUUGGUGGCCAGGAGCAUGUUCCUUGACGGAAAAAAUGUGAAUGCAGACAAAGGAAAAAAAAUUUGAUAGAAGAAGAAGACAUACAGGAAGAUGAAUAAGAGGAUACAUCUUUUCGAGGAAAGAAAACCUCCUCAUCUACAUGAAUGAAAUGGACGGAGGCUGAACUAGAGGAGGUUAAGGAAUAUUUCAGAGAAUGUCUGAUCUCGAUCACCACUCCAGGAAGAAUAACUUGCAAUAUGUGGAUAGAGGAAAGCAGAGCUAAUAUAAUAAGCUAUGGGAAACUCUAAAGAAGAAAGUGUGGAGUCUGCCCCCCCCCCCCCCCCCCAAAAAAAAAAAUAAAAAUAAAAAAUAAAA
Molecule: long non-coding RNA, 848 nt
Organism: Magallana angulata
Lineage: Eukaryota; Metazoa; Mollusca; Bivalvia; Ostreida; Ostreidae
Exons: 6
Source: RefSeq, a predicted model, not a curated record